This 513-nucleotide ribosomal RNA is filed under the name uncultured bacterium. Its description in RNAcentral is "partial 16S ribosomal RNA". It matches the Rfam family "Bacterial small subunit ribosomal RNA", at positions 28 to 523 of the family's 1533-position model. The record is from RNAcentral.
GAUGAACGCUGGCGGCGUGCCUAAUACAUGCAAGUCGAGCGAAUGGAUUAAGAGCUUGCUCUUAUGAAGUUAGCGGCGGACGGGUGAGUAACACGUGGGUAACCUGCCCAUAAGACUGGGAUAACUCCGGGAAACCGGGGCUAAUACCGAAUGUGGUGCCGGCUCAUGAGAGCCGUCACGAAAGGAAGCUUCGGCCUCCGCGACAGGAUGGGCCCGCGGCCCAUUAGCUUGUUGGUGGGGUAAUGGCCUACCAAGGCAACGAUGGGUAGCUGGUCUGAGAGGACGAUCAGCCACACUGGGAGUGAGAAACGGCCCAGACUCCUACGGGAGGCUGCAGUGGGGAAUCUUGCGCAAUGAGCGACAGCUUGACGCAGCAACGCCGCGUGGGGGAAGAAGGCUUUCGGGUCGUAAACCCCUUUCAGUUAGGACGAAGCUUUAUUGGUUAAUAAUCAAUUGGAGUGACGGUACUUUCAGAAGAAGCCCCGGCUAACUACGUGCCAGCCGCCGCCGAAA